AGGACGAACGCUGGCGGCGUGCUUAACACAUGCAAGUCGAGCGGAAAGGCCCUUCGGGGUACUCGAGCGGCGAACGGGUGAGUAACACGUGAGCAACCUGCCCUUAGCUCUGGGAUAGCUCCGGGAAACCGGAAUUAAUACCGGAUACGACCUAGGCCGACAUCGGCCGUGGUGGAAAGUUUUUCGGCUAGGGAUGGACUCGCGGCCUAUCAGCUAGUUGGUGGGGUAAAGGCCUACCAAGGCGACGACGGGUAGCCGGCCUGAGAGGGCGACCGGCCACACUGGGACUGAGACACGGCCCAGACUCCUACGGGAGGCAGCAGUGGGGAAUCUUGCGCAAUGGGCGAAAGCCUGACGCAGCAACGCCGCGUGGGGGAUGAAUGUCUUCGGAUUGUAAACCCCUUUCAGCAGGGACGAAGUGAAAGUGACGGUACCUGCAGAAGAAGCGCCGGCUAACUACGCGCCAGCAGCCGC
This 474-nucleotide ribosomal RNA is filed under the name uncultured bacterium. RNAcentral's name for it is "SSU rRNA". It matches the Rfam family "Bacterial small subunit ribosomal RNA", at positions 26 to 518 of the family's 1533-position model. The record is from RNAcentral.